Molecule: ribosomal RNA, 497 nt
Filed under: uncultured bacterium
Lineage: Bacteria
Description: partial 16S ribosomal RNA
Rfam family: Bacterial small subunit ribosomal RNA
Source: RNAcentral
GACGAACGCUGGCGGCGUGCCUAAUACAUGCAAGUCGAACGAGAGCAACCGGUGCUUGCACUGGUCAAUCUAGUGGCGAACGGGUGAGUAACACGUGGGUAACCUGCCCAUCAGAGGGGGAUAACAUCGGGAAACGGAUGCUAAAACCGCAUAAUUCUUCGAACCGCAUGGUUCGAAAGGGAAAGACGGCCCAGCUUUCUCCUGUUGGAUGGACCGCGGUGCAUUAGCUAGUUGGUUAGGUAACGGCUCACCAAGGCCAGGAUGCAUAGCCGACCUGAGAGGGUGAUCGGCCACAUUGGGACUGAGACACGGUCCAAACUCCUACGGGAGGCAGCAGUAGGGAAUCUUCCGCAAUGGACGCAAGUCUGACGGAGCAACGCCGCGUGAGUGAAGAAGGUUUUCGGAUCGUAAAACUCUGUUGUUAGAGAAGAACAAGUGCGAGAGUAACUGUUAGCGCCUUGACGGUAUCUAACCAGAAAGCCACGGCUAACUACGUG